This 662-nucleotide ribosomal RNA is filed under the name uncultured bacterium. RNAcentral's name for it is "bacterial SSU rRNA". It matches the Rfam family "Bacterial small subunit ribosomal RNA", at positions 126 to 807 of the family's 1533-position model. The record is from RNAcentral.
CUACCCUGUACACACGGAUAACAUACCGAAAGGUAUGCUAAUACGGGAUAAUAUAUUUGAGAGGCAUCUCUUAAAUAUCAAAGGUGAGCCAGUACAGGAUGGACCCGCGUCUGAUUAGCUAGUUGGUAAGGUAACGGCUUACCAAGGCGACGAUCAGUAGCCGACCUGAGAGGGUGAUCGGCCACAUUGGAACUGAGACACGGUCCAAACUCCUACGGGAGGCAGCAGUGGGGAAUAUUGCACAAUGGGCGAAAGCCUGAUGCAGCAACGCCGCGUGAGUGAUGAAGGCCUUCGGGUCGUAAAACUCUGUCCUCAAGGAAGAUAAUGACGGUACUUGAGGAGGAAGCCCCGGCUAACUACGUGCCAGCAGCCGCGGUAAUACGUAGGGGGCUAGCGUUAUCCGGAUUUACUGGGCGUAAAGGGUGCGUAGGCGGUCUUUCAAGUCAGGAGUGAAAGGCUACGGCUCAACCGUAGUAAGCUCUUGAAACUGGGAGACUUGAGUGCAGGAGAGGAGAGUGGAAUUCCUAGUGUAGCGGUGAAAUGCGUAGAUAUUAGGAGGAACACCAGUUGCGAAGGCGGCUCUCUGGACUGUAACUGACGCUGAGGCACGAAAGCGUGGGGAGCAAACAGGAUUAGAUACCCUGGUAGUCCACGCUGUAAAC